Molecule: ribosomal RNA, 159 nt
Filed under: Nectriaceae sp.
Lineage: Eukaryota; Fungi; Ascomycota; Sordariomycetes; Hypocreales; Nectriaceae
Description: partial large subunit ribosomal RNA
Rfam family: Eukaryotic large subunit ribosomal RNA
Source: RNAcentral
CGGCAACAGCUCAAAUUUGAAAUCUGGCUCUCGGGCCCGAGUUGUAAUUUGUAGAGGAUACUUUUGAUGCGGUGCCUUCCGAGUUCCCUGGAACGGGACGCCAUAGAGGGUGAGAGCCCCGUCUGGCAGGACACCCAGCCCGUGUGAAGCUCCCUCGAC